RNAcentral lists this long non-coding RNA (619 nucleotides) under Chinchilla lanigera (long-tailed chinchilla). Its description in RNAcentral is "lncRNA (ENSCLAG00000027639.1)". The record is from RNAcentral. Lineage: Eukaryota; Metazoa; Chordata; Mammalia; Rodentia; Chinchillidae.
UAGCAUUACAUCAUGUAUCAAUCUUUCAUUCUAGACUGGACCACCUCUGGAAAAGCCCCACUUACGUCUGUCUGCAUGAGGCUUUGCGGGGACAUCUAAAUACAAGCCCUAACACAGUCAUAGACAGCACCGUGCAUGAUGGCUUAAGCAAGGCUGCCAGAAUCCAAGCCUUUUCUCCUCAAGGGUCUCUACAUGAUACCCUUCCCUCUCAAGGUCCAAAUGGAAAGAUUCUGCCAGCUGCAUCAGAACUGAAAAUGCUCCUGCACUUUCCACCAGUAAGCUCAUUCACAGACCAGCAGAUCAUAGCUCAUCCUGAUACCUGCACUUUCUUGGCUACUACCUAAGCAAGAAUGACUCUGUGUGAGAAAAGUUACAAUAAACUAAGACCAUUCUAAAGGAAACAAGACGAUCUUUGAACAACUCGAGAAGAACUCAUAAAAACAAGAAGAGCCAGUGUGAAUCAUCUAUCCCGGAAGCUGCCCAGCAUCACGGAAGUCUCCCCAGCCUCUCUAUAGACUGUCCAGCCCCAGUGAUGUCCUGAGACCUCACCCAUACGAAAUACACUGACUGCUCUCCGAGUGUUUCCUACUAAACAAUCUCACACACUCCUUACCUUGGC